RNAcentral lists this ribosomal RNA (460 nucleotides) under uncultured bacterium. RNAcentral's name for it is "partial 16S ribosomal RNA". It matches the Rfam family "Bacterial small subunit ribosomal RNA", at positions 338 to 795 of the family's 1533-position model. The record is from RNAcentral.
CCUACGGGAGGCAGCAGUAGGGAAUAUUGCUCAAUGGGCGUAAGCCUGAACCAGCCAAGUCGCGUGAGGGAUGAAGGUUCUAUGGAUCGUAAACCUCUUUUAUAAGGGAAUAAAGUGUGGGACGUGUCCUGUUUUGUAUGUACCUUAUGAAUAAGGAUCGGCUAACUCCGUGCCAGCAGCCGCGGUAAUACGGAGGAUCCGAGCGUUAUCCGGAUUUAUUGGGUUUAAAGGGUGCGUAGGCGGCCUUUUAAGUCAGCGGUGAAAGUCUGUGGCUCAACCAUAGAAUUGCCGUUGAAACUGGGAGGCUUGAGUAUGUUUGAGGCAGGCGGAAUGCGUGGUGUAGCGGUGAAAUGCUUAGAUAUCACGCAGAACCCCGAUUGUGAAGGCAGCCUGCCAAGCCAUGACUGACGCUGAUGCACGAAAGCGUGGGGAUCAAACAGGAUUAGAUACCCCGGUAGUC